RNAcentral lists this ribosomal RNA (117 nucleotides) under Nestor notabilis (Kea). Lineage: Eukaryota; Metazoa; Chordata; Aves; Psittaciformes; Psittacidae. The record is from RNAcentral.
GUCACAAACCCACUACCCUUAAAACGCCCAAUCUCAUCUGAUCUCGGAAGCUAAGCAGGGUUGGCUCGGUUGGUACUUAGAUGGGAGACAGCCUGCGAAUCUUGAGUGCUGUAGGCU